UAUAAUUUAGUAUAUGAUGUACAUAAAUUUUUGAUAUUUAGAGAAAUAGUUUGAUUCUAUUAAUUGUAA
RNAcentral lists this transfer RNA (69 nucleotides) under Onthophagus longimanus. Its description in RNAcentral is "tRNA-Gln". Lineage: Eukaryota; Metazoa; Arthropoda; Insecta; Coleoptera; Scarabaeidae. The record is from RNAcentral.